Centropristis striata (black sea bass) is the source of this 203-nucleotide long non-coding RNA. RefSeq lists it as uncharacterized. NCBI's taxonomy places the organism in Eukaryota, Metazoa, Chordata, Actinopteri, Perciformes, Serranidae. The record is from RefSeq and is a predicted model, not a curated record. The transcript is spliced from 3 exons.
UCAGAAUCUUUGCCCUAACAGGAACUUGGCACAAGCGUAAUGGCCACCGAGGCAAGCUUCAUGAAGAGGAGAGACUCUGUCCAUGGGUCACCCCAAAAACUCCCUCCCUCUACGAUACACCCAGCCGACAUGCAAGAUUUUCAAGUCUUAAUCUGUAAUCUUGACCAAAAAAAUGUAACUUUCAAGAACUAAAGAACUAUAAA